RNAcentral lists this ribosomal RNA (253 nucleotides) under uncultured bacterium. RNAcentral describes it as "partial 16S ribosomal RNA". It matches the Rfam family "Bacterial small subunit ribosomal RNA", at positions 524 to 776 of the family's 1533-position model. The record is from RNAcentral.
UACGAAGGGGGCAAGCGUUGUUCGGAAUUACUGGGCGUAAAGGGCGCGUAGGCGGCUUACCAAGUCAGGCGUGAAAGCCCCGGGCUCAACCUGGGAAUUGCAUUCGAGACUGAAUAGCUAGGGUGCGGUAGAGGGAAGCGGAAUUUCCGGUGUAGCGGUGAAAUGCGUAGAUAUCGGAAGGAACAUCAGUGGCGAAAGCGGCUUCCUGGACCAGCACCGACGUUCAGGCACGAAAGCGUGGGGAGCAAACAGG